GAUGGGAGCUUGCUCCCUGAUGUUAGCGGCGGACGGGUGAGUAACACGUGGGUAACCUGCCUGUAAGACUGGGAUAACUCCGGGAAACCGGGGCUAAUACCGGAUGGUUGUUUGAACCGCAUGGUUCAGACAUAAAAGGUGGCUUCGGCUACCACUUACAGAUGGACCCGCGGCGCAUUAGCUAGUUGGUGAGGUAACGGCUCACCAAGGCGACGAUGCGUAGCCGACCUGAGAGGGUGAUCGGCCACACUGGGACUGAGACACGGCCCAGACUCCUACGGGAGGCAGCAGUAGGGAAUCUUCCGCAAUGGACGAAAGUCUGACGGAGCAACGCCGCGUGAGUGAUGAAGGUUUUCGGAUCGUAAAGCUCUGUUGUUAGGGAAGAACAAGUGCCGUUCAAAUAGGGCGGCACCUUGACGGUACCUAACCAGAAAGCCACGGCUAACUACGUGCCAGCAGCCGCGGUAAUACGUAGGUGGCAAGCGUUGUCCGGAAUUAUUGGGCGUAAAGGGCUCGCAGGCGGUUUCUUAAGUCUGAUGUGAAAGCCCCCGGCUCAACCGGGGAGGGUCAUUGGAAACUGGGGAACUUGAGUGCAGAAGAGGAGAGUGGAAUUCCACGUGUAGCGGUGAAAUGCGUAGAGAUGUGGAGGAACACCAGUGGCGAAGGCGACUCUCUGGUCUGUAACUGACGCUGAGGAGCGAAAGCGUGGGGAGCGAACAGGAUUAGAUACCCUGGUAGUCCACGCCGUAAACGAUGAGUGCUAAGUGUUAGGGGGUUUCCGCCCCUUAGUGCUGCAGCUAACGCAUUAAGCACUCCGCCUGGGGAGUACGGUCGCAAGACUGAAACUCAAAGGAAUUGACGGGGGCCCGCACAAGCG
Molecule: ribosomal RNA, 877 nt
Filed under: Bacillus siamensis
Lineage: Bacteria; Bacillati; Bacillota; Bacilli; Caryophanales; Bacillaceae
Description: bacterial SSU rRNA
Rfam family: Bacterial small subunit ribosomal RNA
Source: RNAcentral